CGGGACACGUGGUAUCCUGUCUGAAUAUGGGGGGACCAUCCUCCAAGGCUAAAUACUCCUGACUGACCGAUAGUGAACCAGUACCGUGAGGGAAAGGCGAAAAGAACCCCGGCGAGGGGAGUGAAAAAGAACCUGAAACCGUGUACGUACAAGCAGUGGGAGCACAGAGCAAUCUGUGUGACUGCGUACCUUUUGUAUAAUGGGUCAGCGACUUAUAUUCUGUAGCAAGGUUAACCGAAUAGGGGAGCCGAAGGGAAACCGAGUCUUAACUGGGCGUUAAGUUGCAGGGUAUAGACCCGAAACCCGGUGAUCUAGCCAUGGGCAGGUUGAAGGUUGGGUAACACUAACUGGAGGACCGAACCGACUAAUGUUGAAAAAUUAGCGGAUGACUUGUGGCUGGGGGUGAAAGGCCAAUCAAACCGGGAGAUAGCUGGUUCUCCCCGAAAGCUAUUUAGGUAGCGCCUCGUGAAUUCAUCUCCGGGGGUAGAGCACUGUUUCGGCAAGGGGGUCAUCCCGACUUACCAACCCGAUGCAAACUGCGAAUACCGGAGAAUGUUAUCACGGGAGACACACGGCGGGUGCUAACGUCCGUCGUGAAGAGGGAAACAACCCAGACCGCCAGCUAAGGUCCCAAAGUCAUGGUUAAGUGGGAAACGAUGUGGGAAGGCCCAGACAGCCAGGAUGUUGGCUUAGAAGCAGCCAUCAUUUAAAGAAAGCGUAAUAGCUCACUGGUCGAGUCGGCCUGCGCGGAAGAUGUAACGGGGCUAAACCAUGCACCGAAGCUGCGGCAGCGACACUAUGUGUUGUUGGGUAGGGGAGCGUUCUGUAAGCCUGUGAAGGUGUGCUGUGAGGCAUGCUGGAGGUAUCAGAAGUGCGAAUGCUGACAUAAGUAACGAUAAAGCGGGUGAAAAGCCCGCUCGCCGGAAGACCAAGGGUUCCUGUCCAACGUUAAUCGGGGCAGGGUGAGUCGACCCCUAAGGCGAGGCCGAAAGGCGUAGUCGAUGGGAAACAGGUUAAUAUUCCUGUACUUGGUGUUACUGCGAAGGGGGGACGGAGAAGGCUAUGUUGGCCGGGCGACGGUUGUCCCGGUUUAAGCGUGUAGGCUGGUUUUCCAGGCAAAUCCGGAAAAUCAAGGCUGAGGCGUGAUGACGAGGCACUACGGUGCUGAAGCAACAAAUGCCCUGCUUCCAGGAAAAGCCUCUAAGCAUCAGGUAACAUCAAAUCGUACCCCAAACCGACACAGGUGGUCAGGUAGAGAAUACCAAGGCGCUUGAGAGAACUCGGGUGAAGGAACUAGGCAAAAUGGUGCCGUAACUUCGGGAGAAGGCACGCUGAUAUGUAGGUGAAGCGACUUGCUCGUGGAGCUGAAAUCAGUCGAAGAUACCAGCUGGCUGCAACUGUUUAUUAAAAACACAGCACUGUGCAAACACGAAAGUGGACGUAUACGGUGUGACGCCUGCCCGGUGCCGGAAGGUUAAUUGAUGGGGU
RNAcentral lists this ribosomal RNA (1488 nucleotides) under Escherichia coli. RNAcentral describes it as "partial 23S ribosomal RNA". It matches the Rfam family "Bacterial large subunit ribosomal RNA", at positions 418 to 1890 of the family's 2925-position model. Lineage: Bacteria; Pseudomonadati; Pseudomonadota; Gammaproteobacteria; Enterobacterales; Enterobacteriaceae. The record is from RNAcentral.